Molecule: unclassified non-coding RNA, 390 nt
Filed under: soil metagenome
Description: partial contains 5.8S ribosomal RNA, internal transcribed spacer 2, and large subunit ribosomal RNA
Rfam family: 5.8S ribosomal RNA (bases 1-122)
Source: RNAcentral
GAUGAAGAACGUAGCGAAAUGCGAUACUUGGUGUGAAUUGCAGAAUCCCGUGAACCAUCGAGUCUUUGAACGCAAGUUGCGCCCGAAGCCAUUAGGCCGAGGGCACGCCUGCCUGGGCGUCACACGUCGUUGCCCCCCCAUCUACUCCUUCGGGAUUGCGGGGGGCGGAUGAUGGCCUCCCGUGCGCCUCGUCGCGCGGUUGGCAUAAAUACCAAGUCCUCGGCGACGCACGCCACGACAAUCGGUGGUUGCGAAACCUCGGUUGCCCGUCGUGUGCGGUCGUCGCGCAUCGAGGGCUCGAAAAAAUUGCCGGGCUCCGGCUCGGCUUUCAACGCGACCCCAGGUCAGGCGGGGUUACCCGCUGAAUUUAAGCAUAUCAAUAAGGGAGGA